GACGAACUGUCCUAACGUUGUUCGGAAUCACUGGGCUUAAAGGGCGCGUAGGCGGUCCGACAAGUCAGGGGUGAAAUCCUGCAGCUUAACUGCAGAAGUGCCUUUGAUACUGUCGGUCUUGAGGGAGAUAGGGGUGUGCGGAACUCACAGUGGAGCGGUGAAAUGCGUUGAUAUUGUGAGGAACGCCGGAGGCGAAAGCGGCGCACUGGAUCUCUUCUGACGCUGAGGCGCGAAAGCUAGGGGAGCAAACAGG
Molecule: ribosomal RNA, 253 nt
Filed under: uncultured bacterium
Lineage: Bacteria
Description: partial 16S ribosomal RNA
Rfam family: Bacterial small subunit ribosomal RNA
Source: RNAcentral